RNAcentral lists this ribosomal RNA (403 nucleotides) under uncultured bacterium. RNAcentral describes it as "bacterial SSU rRNA". It matches the Rfam family "Bacterial small subunit ribosomal RNA", at positions 9 to 414 of the family's 1533-position model. The record is from RNAcentral.
GAGUUUGAUCCUGGCUCAGAUUGAACGCUGGCGGCAUGCUUUACACAUGCAAGUCGAACGGCAGCACGGGGGCAACCCUGGUGGCGAGUGGCGAACGGGUGAGUAAUAUAUCGGAACAUAUCCGGAAGUGGGGGAUAACGUACCGAAAGGUACGCUAAUACCGCAUAUGCCCUUAGGGGGAAAGGGGGGGAUCGCAAGACCUCUCGCUUUCGGAGUGGCCGAUAUCGGAUUAGCUAGUUGGUGAGGUAAAGGCUCACCAAGGCGACGAUCCGUAGCUGGUCUGAGAGGACGACCAGCCACACUGGAACUGAGACACGGUCCAGACUCCUACGGGAGGCAGCAGUGGGGAAUUUUGGACAAUGGGCGAAAGCCUGAUCCAGCCAUGCCGCGUGAGUGAAGAGGG